Octopus sinensis (East Asian common octopus) is the source of this 141-nucleotide long non-coding RNA. RefSeq lists it as uncharacterized. The record is from RefSeq and is a predicted model, not a curated record. Lineage: Eukaryota; Metazoa; Mollusca; Cephalopoda; Octopoda; Octopodidae. The transcript is spliced from 2 exons.
AUGGGAAAUGAUGCUCCAUCCACCAUAUUCGCCGGACAUUGCUCCGUCAGAACAGUAAUAGAGAAGUAUUUUUCGUCACGGACAAGUGAAUUUUGGAAGAGAGGUCUUGCAAGUGUACCAGAUAGAUGAAAGAGCAUUGUA